GGAAACUGGGUCUAGUACCAGAUAGGACGAUGGUUUGGAUGCCAUUGUGGAAAGUUUUUCGGUGUGGGAUGAGCUCGCGGCCUAUCAGCUUGUUGGUGGGGUAAUGGCCUACCAAGGCGACGAUCCAUAGCUGGUCUGAGAGGAUGAUCAGCCACACUGGGACUGAGACACGGCCCAGACUCCUACGGGAGGCAGCAGUGGGGAAUAUUGGACAAUGGGCGCAAGCCUGAUCCAGCCAUGCCGCGUGUGUGAAGAAGGCCUUCGGGUUGUAAAGCACUUUCAGUUGUGAGGAAAGGUUGA
This 300-nucleotide ribosomal RNA is filed under the name Trieres chinensis. RNAcentral describes it as "partial Bacterial small subunit ribosomal RNA". It matches the Rfam family "Bacterial small subunit ribosomal RNA", at positions 152 to 456 of the family's 1533-position model. Lineage: Eukaryota; Bacillariophyta; Thalassiosirophyceae; Eupodiscales; Parodontellaceae. The record is from RNAcentral.